UCCCUGCUGGCUCAGAGGGUAAAGCGUCUGCCUGUAAUACAGGAGACUCUGGGUUCAAUCCCUGGGUUGGGAA
RNAcentral lists this transfer RNA (73 nucleotides) under Ovis aries (sheep). It matches the Rfam family "tRNA". From Rfam's summary of the family: Transfer RNA (tRNA) molecules are approximately 80 nucleotides in length. Their secondary structure includes four short double-helical elements and three loops (D, anti-codon, and T loops). Further hydrogen bonds mediate the characteristic L-shaped molecular structure. tRNAs have two regions of fundamental functional importance: the anti-codon, which is responsible for specific mRNA codon recognition, and the 3' end, to which the tRNAs corresponding amino acid is attached (by aminoacyl-tRNA synthetases). tRNAs cope with the degeneracy of the genetic code in two manners: having more than one tRNA (with a specific anti-codon) for a particular amino acid; and 'wobble' base-pairing, i.e. permitting non-standard base-pairing at the 3rd anti-codon position. Lineage: Eukaryota; Metazoa; Chordata; Mammalia; Artiodactyla; Bovidae. The record is from Rfam by way of RNAcentral.